This 1187-nucleotide long non-coding RNA is filed under the name Daphnia pulex (common water flea). Its description in RNAcentral is "uncharacterized LOC124193763, transcript variant X4". The record is from RNAcentral. Lineage: Eukaryota; Metazoa; Arthropoda; Branchiopoda; Diplostraca; Daphniidae.
CGCCGUCCGAGGAGGUUACCUUAGCCAUUGGCUUAUGGCGGGGCACUUUCUCUUUCUUUCCUCACAUUUUUCAAUGUCUGGUGUCAGUGGUGUGAGCUUCUUCAUUGCAUUACGUGCACGUGGUCGCUGCCUCGUCAUGAAGAGAGUCUACUAUUUUGCAAGACAAAUAAGAUGAAAAGAGGAAAUUUGAAAAGGUAGAUUUCCUUGUUCAGUUUAUGAACUGUUAAUGGUGUUGUCUGGUGUUCAGUUUAGAGAUGCCUUGAGAUGGAUGAUCAACUGCUGCUGAGCCUUAUCAUCGUCUUUUUGGACGUGGAGAAUGGAGACGCUGUCCCGAGUACGUUAAGCUUGGCCAUUGCAGGCAACCUUCUCUCUUGACAUGUCUGGUGGAGUUUAAAAGCUUCUUAGUUCUUUAUUGCGUUACGUGUACGUGAUCGUUGCCGUUUGAUGAAGGUUCUCUAAGAGGGUCUCUACUACAUUGCAAGACAACACCGUGAUGGAAAUAGGAAAUCUAAAAUGAAGAAGUAAUAAUUUAAAUUAUGGAAAUCUUAAGUGUAUGAUCGCCUUAUCUGUCAAGUUUCCAUGGUGAGCUGGUUUGUUGUGGCUGUUUGGUGUGCAGUGAUUUUCCAGGAGAAAUGCGUUAAAAAGGGAUUAAGUGCCGCAACAAGUUGGCAAUAUGGCAAUCUUAUGCUACUGAGCCUGACGCCGUCUUCUAGGGAAACUGUCAGUUACAUUGUUCGUGCGGUCAACUUCAAAAUUCUUCACAAAUAUCUCAAAGGAUUAAUGGUUUGGUAAGACUGAGCUUUUUCAUGGUGGUUGAAAGUCGACAUAGAGCCAACUGGUGAAUGGUGUGGGGAAGUGCUGCAUGCCAUCUGUGGUGUUGGUUUCCAUUGUCAGUUAGAUGUAUCAGCUAAUUUUUCUGUUACUCUUUGGUGUGCAGUUUAUUUUUGGGUGGUUUUGUUGCAGGCAGCUGGUAAGAGGGAGUUCAAGUCGAGUUGAGCUGAAGGUUAAUGAACCAGUCGAUAAUGCUGGUGUCAAAAGUUAAAUAUCAAUGAAGACAUCUUGAAAUGGACUCGGUGACAAUGUGAUUUUCAAUCUGCUGCAUGUAGUUUUUGUUAUCAAAAAGUGGAGAAGUAAGACUGGAAGCAAAGCUGCAAGAAAAGGAAAUGAUUAACUCCAAACUGAUGUAG